UUGGAAACCAAAUCCCGAGGUUAGAGCCUGGGCAUCGGUAUUUUUUUUAAACAUACAGGUGAUUCUGAUGCACACUGAGUGUUGAGGGCCACCCUGAGGGAUGCGGAAGUACCUCUCUUUCCCCUGUCAUGUGUCCUCUGGUAAAGGGGUCACAAAAACUGUACUGCAUGUGCCUCCUGCUUAAAGAGGUUCUCUGGAGCCUUGAAAAAAAUACAGAGUGGAAGAAAUAGCUACAUGAAAUUUUUAUUCAUGUUCAAAUUUGUAGUGAUAGUAUACAGUUGGCCCUCUGUAUACAUGGGUUUCUUAUGCAUGAAUUCAACCAACCUCAGAUAAAAAGUAUUUGGAAAAAAAUACAAUAAAAAGUAAUAUACAUUUUAAAAAUACAAUAUUAAAACUAUUUCCAUAGCAUUUACAUUGUAUUAGUUAUUUUAAGUACUUUAGAGAUGAUUUAAAGUGCACAGGAUAUGCCUGGGUUAUUUGAAAAUACUAUGCCAUUUUAUAGAAGGGACUUGAGCAUUCAUGGAUUUUGGUAUCUGCAGGGGUCCUGGAACCAGUCCCUCACAAACACCAAAGAAUGACUCUAUACUCCAGAUCAUGAAAGCACAUAAUGGGAGAAUAAUCAACAACUCUGAAUUUAAGCAAACAAACCAACUGCACUGGUUGAGGCUGGGAGAGUGAGUGGAACCAGCUGAGGAAGAUGUGGCCCAAUCAGAGCCUUUACCAAGUCUUGGUAAUAAAUGCCCUUGGCAAAUAAACACAAUCAGAACAAAAACUACUUUCCACUACCACUGAAAGGAAAAAAUGUUGGCAAAGAUUAUGGAAAUGUGGUGACUUGUAAUUAUUCAGCUGAGGGGGAAUAUAAACUGGGACUUACAUAGACUUUGGAUGCCAAACAAAACUAUUAUAAUGAAAUUCUAGGAAACCAAAUGUAAAUCAAAACUGUGGUCCAGGCUACAGCAUUUCUCCACUAUUGAAUAUAUAAAAGUGAAAUUGAAUCACCAAGGAGGACAAAGCAAGUAACGAUAUCAGCUGUUUCUCACAAUGAAAUCCUAAUAAAAAUGCAACUGAGUUUGUUAAACUUCAAUUGUCUAAGGUAGAUGCAUUUCCUCUUGUUAUUUAAACAGCAGAUUCUUGCUUACCUAAAAUACAGAGCCCCAAAAUGUCCAUUUGCCCAAUAAAAUCUUUGUUUAGGAAAUACAAUACAUGAAAUACUCAAACAAUAGGGUAUUAUAUAGGUUAUAAAAGGAUGCAUUUAUAUUUCAUAGACAAUUUAGUUUCCCAUGAGUUAAAUGAAUUUCCAGAUCAUUGUGUGAUUAAGUUCUUGGGUUCUAAGAAAGUUUAAAGUAAAGCUUAGGUAAUGGCCAAGUUAAGAUGAAUAAAAUAAUUGAAUAGAAAAACACUAUUUGAAAUUAUAAUACAAUUAAUACAAAAUAUUUGAUUUUACUAAAUUAUAUAAACUCAGACAAACCUUAUUCACUUAUAGCAGUAGUGCUUUCUAAAAAUCCCAGCAUCAUUUAGAAGGAAAACACUAGAAGAUAUUAAGGGACAAUCCGUUGUGGCUAGAAGACAAUAUUACAUCUUUUAUGUGCAUUUUAAAAUAUUUAUACUGUUAUUUUCAUAUACUCAUUAUGUAUCGUGUUUAAUAUUAAACAAAUAAGAUGUUUUACUUUAUUACAUUUUGAAACUUGGAUUGGCCUAGGAGCCCUUAUUUGGUCAAUGUGUGAGGAUGUGGAGGCCAUCCUAUCAGAAGGAUGAACUCCAACCUAUGUUGGGUAAUUUUAUAUGUAAACUUGGUUGAGCCAAGGCACCAGGCAAUCCAUCAAACAUUAUUCUGGAUGUUUCCAUGAAAGUGUUUUUUUGGAUGAGAUUAACACUUAAAUUGGUAGAAUUUGAGUAAAGCAGAUUACCUUCCAUAGUGUGGAUAGGCCUCAUCCAACCAGUCAAAUGCCUUAAUAGAACAGAGACUGACCUUCCUCGAGGAAGAAUGAAUUCUGCCAGCACAUUGCCUUCAGAUUCAAGCUGCAACUCUCCCCAGGGUCUUUAGCCUGACAGAAUCUCCACCUUGCAGAUUUUGAAUUUACCAAGCCUCCCACAAUUGUGUGAACCAAUUCUUUAAAAUAUCUCUCUUUCUCUCCUCUCUCUCUCUAUAUAUA
RNAcentral lists this long non-coding RNA (2153 nucleotides) under Macaca mulatta (Rhesus monkey). RNAcentral describes it as "lncRNA (ENSMMUG00000049652.1)". The record is from RNAcentral. Lineage: Eukaryota; Metazoa; Chordata; Mammalia; Primates; Cercopithecidae.